The submitters of this non-coding RNA (31 nucleotides) gave its source as unclassified sequences. The record is from Rfam.
CUAUGUCAUAAAUAUGACAUGGCGAAAGGAG